This 343-nucleotide ribosomal RNA is filed under the name bacterium enrichment culture clone CT5. RNAcentral describes it as "bacterial SSU rRNA". It matches the Rfam family "Bacterial small subunit ribosomal RNA", at positions 565 to 903 of the family's 1533-position model. The record is from RNAcentral.
GCGCGCGCAGGCGCUUUCUUGAAGUCUGAUGUGAAAGCCCACGGCUCAACCGUGGAGGGUCAUUGGAAACUGGGGAACUUGAGUGCAUAAGAAAAAAGCGGAAUUCCACGUGUAGCGGUGAAAGGCGUAGAGAGGUGGAGGAACACCAUUGGCGAAGGCGGCUUUUUGGUCUGUAACUGACGCUGAGGCGCGAAAGCGUGGGGAGCAAACAGGAUUAGAUACCCGGGUAGUCCACGCCGUAAACGAUGAGUGCUAAGUGUUAGAGGGUUUCCGCCCGUUGGGGACUGCAGCUAACUCAAUACGCCCUCCGCCUGGGGGAGCACGGUCGCAAGACUGAAACUCA